UUCUUCCCAGCAUAAUCAUUAGUUGCUACGUGUUAUUCUCAUACUUUUUGGCAUUAUUAUUUACGACGCAAUUAGUUAUGAUUCCUCUGUGAGGCUGAGAGUCCCUCCAGGGCACAAGUGUGUGACUUUGGAGGUAUUGCAGCUAUCUCGGGAUAUGAGGCAACCGCGAACGUGAAAACACAUGUUAAACAUGGCAGAAUGGAUAGCUGGAUUUCUGGGCCCCUGAUACUUCUCUGUCAUGCUGGGCAUUAUAUAUUUGUAUUUUGUUAUCUGAGAAAAAGGUAAAAACUGAGCUUGUUUUAAAAAACUUCUGAUCCUUGUGGUUAAAUACAAUCCUUAACUAAUAGACAUUGUCUUUACCAUUCUGCUGGUGGAAAAGUAAGUUCACAUUCCUGGAGCCCACCUGAAUGGUGGGUAACACAGGCGCAGCCAGAAGAGCGGACUGCUGGGUGCAACCUGGCCCGUAGAUGGUCACACCUGAGCCAGCAGGGCUGACUGCUGCCAGGGUUCGUAACGUCUGAUUACCCUAGAUCUUCAGACCAUAGGCAGAGUGUCACUGGAGGCACCCAAUGUACAGUAGCACCCGUGACCUCCGAGGAAAGUCCUCAGUAUUAGCGCAGCUCUGCAGAGGUGCCGGCCCCGGCCCCAGGUAGUCUGUGCAGCCUGAUCUCCUUCAUAGCGUACAGCACAGCGGGGGUUGCACUGCAGCUCCCUGGCCAGGCACACUCUUCUCCCAUUCUCUGCUUACUGACAUCUUCCUUGUGCUUCAAGAGCAGAUCGGAUGACGGUGCCUCUAUCUUCCCAGACAUGCUUUAUGGUUUUUGUCAUCAACUCCCUGGACCUGCUGCCUGACCUUGGCGUGCUCCCUGUGCUUAGGUUUGGUUGGUCACCCCCUCACCACCCUGGCAACCUCCUUGCGAACACGGGUGGUCUAAGGUUUGGUAUCCUUAGUGCCACCACAUCCUUCCCUGGCUCCUCCCUCGAACGCUCACACUCUCACAAUACCCCCUCACCCUUCACACUGGUUUAUUUUCUCAGUAGCGUGCACCAACGUCUACCACGCAUCCUCUGUACUUAUUGGCUUUGUUUCUUUUCUUUUCUUUUUUUUUUUUUUGUACCGGGAAUUGAACUCAUGACUUCAGGCUUGCCAGGCAAGCGCUUAUGUCACUGAGCUAUAUCCCCGGCUUGGCUUUGUUUCUUGUCUACUGCCCUCAACCCCAGCAGAAAACGAGGACAGGGACUGCUGCCUGUCCUGUCCCCGGCUGAAUCUCCAGCUCCUAGCUCUGAGCUUGGCACAUGGUGAGUGUCCAACAAAUAGGUCCUGGCUGAAUGCACCAGCCAGUAAUGAUCGCAUGCGAGGUGGCUUUUGUAGGCAGGGCAGUGGGACUAAGAUGAUAAUAUUUGUUAAAUCAUAUUGCCCCGAAGGCUCCCCUUGCCUUCCCGUAAGCCCCUAAUUACUGAGUCUGGGCCACUUUAAUCACGGUCUCUGCCCCACCAUUAGUCAUCACCCCAUGCCACCAGCUUCCUCCCUCGCCUUGAAGCCCAGAGCCUCCUUUGCCAUCAUCUCCAAUUAUAUGUACUGGAUGCUGCUUAGAGGAACAUCUGAUGAGCACACAGAUCCCGGCUAUUGUCCAUCUGCACGAUGACCGACGUUUCGGAGAUCUGAGACUGCAGCAGCGCGAUCUCCUGGGGAGAA
Chinchilla lanigera (long-tailed chinchilla) is the source of this 1696-nucleotide long non-coding RNA. RefSeq lists it as uncharacterized. The transcript has 3 exons. NCBI's taxonomy places the organism in Eukaryota, Metazoa, Chordata, Mammalia, Rodentia, Chinchillidae. The record is from RefSeq and is a predicted model, not a curated record.